This is a non-coding RNA of Microcebus murinus (gray mouse lemur), 273 nucleotides long. The record is from RefSeq and is a predicted model, not a curated record. NCBI's taxonomy places the organism in Eukaryota, Metazoa, Chordata, Mammalia, Primates, Cheirogaleidae.
AGUAAACCACCAUCCGGUGUCAGGCUGGACGACUUCCUGCAGGUGUGCAUUCAGCUGGGUUUUUAAGGAGGAUGCACCCAGUGACUGUAUGUUUUAUCUAAAUUAUUCCUCAUAACAACCCUGAGAUGAAGAUAAUUCGAUGACUUUUUGCAACAGAAGAAGGAACUGAAACCAUGAAUCCAUUGAGUCACUUGAAAACAUUGCUAGACAUGGAAAUUUUAUCCUGCCUUCCGAUUCAAACCAGCCUCCCCUAGCAGUGAAGCUGCUGGUCUU